AGAGGUGGCAAGCGUUGUUCGGAAUUACUGGGCGUAAAGGGCGCGUAGGCGGCCUCGCAAGUCCCGUGUGAAAUCCCUCGGCUCAACUGAGGAAUGGCACGGGAAACUGCGGGGCUUGAGUUCGGGAGAGGGAAGCGGAAUUCCGGGUGUAGCGGUGAAAUGCGUAGAUAUCCGGAGGAACACCGGUGGCGAAGGCGGCUUCCUGGACCGAUACUGACGCUGAGGCGCGAAAGCUAGGGGAGCAAACGGGAUUAGAUACCCCGGUAGUCCUAGCUGUAAACGAUGAGCGCUGGGUGUAGGGGGUCUUAACCCCCCCUGUGCCGAAGCUAACGCAUUAAGCGCUCCGCCUGGGGAGUACGGUCGCAAGGCUG
Molecule: ribosomal RNA, 371 nt
Filed under: uncultured bacterium
Lineage: Bacteria
Description: bacterial SSU rRNA
Rfam family: Bacterial small subunit ribosomal RNA
Source: RNAcentral